RNAcentral lists this long non-coding RNA (2485 nucleotides) under Homo sapiens (human). RNAcentral's name for it is "HSALNT0211596". Lineage: Eukaryota; Metazoa; Chordata; Mammalia; Primates; Hominidae. The record is from RNAcentral.
UCACUUUCUAACAUUUUUGCAAUCAAAAAAUUAUCUUUUAAAGAAGUUUACUAAUUUUCAUGGGAUGAUCACAGAUUAGCUGCAAGCAAUUUGCUCAUGAAAGGGCUUUUUAUAACACAUCAUAGAUUACCAAUAAAUGGGCUGAAAUGACUUCAUACUAAAUGUAAAACAGAUUACCUUUCCAUCUGUAAUUCAGUGUUCAAAAGAAACAAAAUAUUAGCAAGUUAUUCAUAAUACAUAAUUCAUUUUUAUGUGAGCAUUAGUAAUUCUGGCCUACUUGUGGUCCGGAUAAACCCAUAUUUAUGAUGUUGUAACUUAAAGUGUCUUUCACUCUGUUCAUGGUGUUCUUUUUACAUUAAAAAAAAAAAUUAGAAGUAGGGAAGGCCAUAGCUUCUCAUUUUAAAUGUGCUCAUUCCUGGGGAGCUAAGCAUAUGAAAAUUAUAAUCCAACAAACAUCUGUUUCUAAACUACUGAUGCUUUAGCAUGAACUAGAAAUAUAAAUUUUAAUCUGAUGACUGAAAGCAUCCCUUUAACUGUUUUUUUUUUUUUUUUUUUUUUUUUUUUUUUUUUUUUUGAGUAGUCCAGUGGGAUGACAUCUGGAGGGGCUAUGCUUUAGAUUAUUUAUAGAUGUGGGCAAUAAGAGCUACAUUUAUGUUGUCAGUGCUGUUUGCCCUCGUUUAAUUUCUCAAAUGACCUAAUUAUAUGUGUUCUCAAUAUGUCUUGGGAGGAAAAUAAUUGCUGAUACUGUCAAAGGCAAAAUGCUGAAUAUGUUUCAGUGCUUCUCACAUUCCAUGGCCUGAUUAUGGGCAUCAUUAAAUUACACGUUACCAUUCUUCCGGAACAUCGCAUUGAACAUGUCCUAAUGUUUCACAAUGAGAAGUGAAGCACUUCCUCUUACUUAAAAAGAAAAAUAUUUGAUUUUUACAGGAUGCCUGACACUAAUGCUUACUAUUCUGCUAUCUAUGAUGUCUUCACUUAUGGAUAUAUUUAUUAACAAGUACUUAUUAGCUAUUUAACAUUUCCUCUACUGAGUGUUAUUAAUUACAGAUGCUGUAUUAGUUUCCUAAGGCUGCUGUAACAAAUUACCACAAACGUGGUGACUUAAAACAACAGAAAUUUAUUCUCUCACGGUUCUGGAGGCCAGAAGUUCAAAAUACAGCUGGGACCAAAGGCAUCUCUAAGGAAGGAUACAGUCCUUGCCUCUUCCAGGGUUCUGUGCCUCCUGUUGGAAUGAGCUCACUAACCAGUGGAAACAAACUGUUUAUCCUUCUAUGAUGUUGCAACUGCCUGGGCUUUCUAAUGCGUCUUCAGAUUUCGGUUUGUACUCAGAACAAGUGAGAAAAGUUUUACAGCAACUCCACGAAACAAAGCAGACAGGCUCUCCUGAAGCCAAGGAGUUAUGAAAAAGGCAGGCAUCGCGCAUUGAAUCAAGUAUGCCAUUACCCUCACUCCCAUGAACCUGUCUUUCAGCACAAUCCAUGACAGCAAGAAGACAAAGGCUUUGUUACAACAGAACAGAGCGGAGACAUCCGUGGCCGUCAGCUUCUUUAAAGCCAGUAAAUAAAGGAAAGAAAAGAGAAGUUAAUAUCCAGGUACUGAUGGUGACACCUCUUGUCUUAUCUGACUCAUCGCAGCCAUUUUCAGUUCCAACCCAAGAUGAUGAUACUGACAAGAUGAUCAAGAGUCCCCAGAUGCCCUUCAGAACCAUGGACGUGCAGGACAGGCAGCGAGCCUUGAUUCUGUUUUCUUGGCUGCUGUUCUCAGAAUGAGUCUGUGUCCCAUCGUCUGCUGGAAACAGGAAAGGAAUACAAAUGUGAGGAAAGCAGGUUAUGAAACAGCAAUCAAAUAUAUCAGCUCCUUAAAAAAGAUGGAUGAAACCAAAGAGGCAGACAGUAGAAUUACCAGUGUUUUUCUUUUCUACCAUCAUUUGAAGAGACUGAUAACUUCGGCUCACUUUUUCUCUGGACUCUGUGCUCUGCACAAUACAGUAAGCAUCUGAGUCCCGAUCCAGUCCAUGAGGUUGCUCAUGCGGAUGUUAUGCUGUUUUCCAGUGUGCCCUUCCCUUGUAAGAGCAUUACACAUCCCAGCCCCCAAAGACUGGUCUUGGCCACAUGCCCUGCGCUUUCUAUUGAAUGUGAGAAGACAUGAGGCAUAACACCUCCCAUAAGAAGCCUUAGGAGGCAUCCCAAGGUCCUACCAGCUCUCUUGCUCUUCCCCUCUGUCAUUUCAAAGUAGAACGCCAAAUAGAAGGUGUUCUUUCUGUGUGGGAACAUGAGCAGAACCCAGCCAAAGCUGCUCUGUAUGCACCAACAUGAAAAGCGAGUGAGAAAUAAAUAUUCGUUUCCAUUUUCCUUUUUUUUUUUUUUUUACGUUAUAGCAAAUGGCCUGGUGCUGUGACUCAGGCCUGUCAUCUCAGCACUCUGGGAGGCCAAGGUGGGAGGAUCACUUGAAUUCAGGAGUUCAAGACCAGCUUGGCCAAGAAAGA